Molecule: ribosomal RNA, 465 nt
Filed under: Citrobacter werkmanii
Lineage: Bacteria; Pseudomonadati; Pseudomonadota; Gammaproteobacteria; Enterobacterales; Enterobacteriaceae
Description: partial 23S ribosomal RNA
Rfam family: Bacterial large subunit ribosomal RNA
Source: RNAcentral
GGUUAAGCGACUAAGCGUACACGGUGGAUGCCCUGGCAGUCAGAGGCGAUGAAGGACGUGCUAAUCUGCGAUAAGCGCCGGUAAGGUGAUAUGAACCGUUAUAACCGGCGAUUUCCGAAUGGGGAAACCCAGUGUGAUUCGUCACACUAUCAUUACGUGAAUACAUAGCGUAAUGAAGCGAACCGGGGGAACUGAAACAUCUAAGUACCCCGAGGAAAAGAAAUCAACCGAGAUUCCCCCAGUAGCGGCGAGCGAACGGGGAGCAGCCCAGAGUCUGAAUCAGCAUGUGUGUUAGUGGAACGGUCUGGAAAGUCCGACGGUACAGGGUGAUAGUCCCGUACACAAAAACGCAUGUGUUGUGAACUCGAAGAGUAGGGCGGGACACGUGGUAUCCUGUCUGAAUAUGGGGGGACCAUCCUCCAAGGCUAAAUACUCCUGACUGACCGAUAGUGAACCAGUACCGUG